AGCGAACGCUGGCGGCAGGCUUAACACAUGCAAGUCGAGCGGGCACUCUCGGGUGUCAGCGGCUGACGGGUGGGUAACGGGGGGGAACGUGCCCUCUGAUUCGGAAUAACUCAGGGAAACUUGAGCUAAUAACGGAUACGCACUUUGGGGAGAAGGCUUGCUGGCGGGGGAUCGGCCCGCGUCUGAUUAGCUAGGUGGUGGGGGAAGCGCUCACCAAGGCGACGAUCAGUAGCUGGUCUGAGCGGAUGAUCCGCCACACCUGGGCUGAGGCGCGGCCCCGAAUCGUACGGGAGGGAGCAGUGUGGAAUAUUAGACGAGGGGCGCAAGUCUGAUACAGCCAUGCCGGGUGAGUGGUGAAGGCCUUAGGGUUGUAAAGCUGUUUUAUCCGGGGCGAUAAUGACGGUACCGGAGGAAUAAGCCCCGGCUAACUUCGUG
RNAcentral lists this ribosomal RNA (435 nucleotides) under uncultured bacterium. RNAcentral's name for it is "partial 16S ribosomal RNA". It matches the Rfam family "Bacterial small subunit ribosomal RNA", at positions 30 to 507 of the family's 1533-position model. The record is from RNAcentral.